UACGUAGGGGGGCAAGCGUUGUCCGGAAUCCGAUUCGGGCGUAAGAAGCGUGUAGGCGGCCCGGUAAGUCCGCUGUGAAAGUCGGGGGGCUCAACCCUCGAAUGCCGGUGGAUACUGUCGGGCUAGAGUGCGGAAGAGGCGAGUGGAAUUCCCGGUGGUAGCGGUGAAUGCGCAGAUAUGGGAGGAACACCUAUGGCGAAGGCGGUCUCUGGC
Molecule: ribosomal RNA, 213 nt
Filed under: uncultured bacterium
Lineage: Bacteria
Description: partial 16S ribosomal RNA
Rfam family: Bacterial small subunit ribosomal RNA
Source: RNAcentral